GGGCUGAAGCAUUGUCCAAAGAGCUAAAAUGCACUAAGAGAGAAGUCUGCUUUGUUUUAUUUAUUCUUAAACAUUCUGCUGGUUUCCAUCCCAUGCUGCGCUCUCUUCCAUAUGCUCCCUACACCCACCAACACACCCACCUACACACACUCACAAUUUACCAACAUACUUUAUGACUUUGCUGAAUUAAGAUCCACACCACCAUUCAAAUAAGAUAAAAUAAACAGCUGUUUUCUUUCUGCAGAAUGAGCGUAUACUGACUUGGCACUUAUGAAGCAUCUGAAAGAAGGAGGCUGCCAGAAAUGUCUUACACCAACACUGCACUGAAGGCCUAGGUCUGGAGUAUGUGCAGCUGUGUGCACUAAGGAGCAUUGGGAUCUUGCAGUAGGAAAAUUUCUAGGGGGAUCUUGCAGGCAUGCAAGCCACGGUAGUGUGUUGUAGGUCACCAAGAAGCCAGAGGAGGUGCCCAUGGGAUCUCCAGGCUUGAACACAUAGUCAAAAUAGCAUCAACAGGGUACAACAGAAGCCCAUUGCAGACAUUUAAUUCAAGACCUCCCUUUCUGCUGGAGAAUUACAGUCCCAAGAAGUGCAAGCAGCAGAGACUGACUAGAUUUGCCCUGCCUCUCUUAUCUCCUGCAUUAAGCUCCUUGAUUUGGGAGCUGACAGAAUUUUGCAGUGCCCAGCAGACAAACAAAUAACCUAGAAAGAGUCUGAAACAGGUUAUAUUACUGUGAAUCCUGUUUUGCCAUCCAUUUCUGCUGCUUAUCAGUUGUAGGCCAUUACACCUCAUUCUGAAAAUCAAAAGGGCUGAAAACAAAAGCAGCAUCUCAGAUUGUCACCUUGGUAUUUCUCCUUGCUGUAUGUAUGGUAACUGUUGAGUCACAACCUGAACUGCUGAUUGAGCACCUGCAGAAAGAACCCAGUCAGCCUUGGGAGCACAGGUGAAGGCAAUUCUCCUGUGCAACUGGAAGGGGUAGAACCUAGCUGCACUUCUCUUAGACCACAUUUAAGGGCUGAUUGCCUUUAAGGAAGGGUCUCUGGUUGGAGAUCCCUCUCUUGUGGAGUCUUUUCUGUGAGCCUGGAUCCUUAGAGCUGACCCACCAGGCCUGAUCUGCAUGGGUUCUUAAAGACAAUGAAGGCUGCCUGACAGCUUGGAGUGAACACAUGAGACUUGAUCAAAGGUGGAGUAAGAGUUACCAACCAGUGGGGACUUCUGCAGGGAUUGUAGCAGCAUACAUUUUGGAAUCAGGGCUUGAAAUACAGCCACAAAAACUGUCAGGGACUCAGCAUUUAACUGGAUGUUGAGUCAAUUGUAAAAUAUUUGGACAAGAUUCUUUUCCUUCCCCUUUAGCUCCUUCCAACAUCCUCCCUCUGGAAAAACACUUUAAUAUGUGGAAUAUAAAUUAAGAGGUCUCCAAAAGAGUUGAUACGCGUUUGGGAAAAUAUUGUUGCACAGCGUGACUGGACAGUUUUAUUCCAUUUGAGACAGAUUGAAAAGAUGGAAAUUACUGUGAUACUGGCUGAUGGAAUAGCUCCAAACUCUUUCAGCUUUGUCUGGAACAGGCAUGGCUUAGCUACUGUUGUUUUACAUAGUGACUAAAUGUAAAUACUAUAAAAUAUUUAUGAAUAAUGAAUGCCAAACUGAUCACAUUGUAGAUUUUUACUGGAGCAUGUAUAUCUUGUUAUUAACCUGACAUUUAUAGUAUCUUGCCUCUUAUCACUUAAUCAAGUCAUCUGUCCAUAUACUUCAUCUUCUGAAAUAUGAGAAGUUGGAAACAGUUCUGUGAUUUAUUUAAAAUCUCUGAGACUGUUUCUGCCAGUGUGUGUGCUGAUAAAUGUUAUGUUAACAGGUUCUCUGUUUGUUUAACGUUCUCCUGAGGAGGGUUAGAUGUGAUUUAAGCAAUCUCAUAUAUUUAAAGUACAGCAUUAAUUUCAAGUCUGCAGUGAGAACGACAGGAAGGGUCACAGGCAGCACAGCCACUCGUAUGACAGUGGAUAGCUUUUGUAUUCCUAACUAGAAGUUUAUUCACAUCUCAAGCUACUACUGGUCUUGAAAAUCUUGAUUUAAGAAAACAUAGUAUAGAAAUUAAGUCAUGCAUUGCAAGACUAACAACAGUAUAGGAAUUUGUCCAAUAACAGUCUAAUGUCUGUUGUUCAAUUUUUGUCUGUCUGCAUAUGGUUUGCUAUACAUCAACUUUCCCUUAGAGGAAUCAGAGGGCUUUUUACAACAUAUAGCUUCAACAUGCGCGCGGGCGCGCACACACACACACACACACACACACACACACACACACACACACACACACAUUCACAGCCUUGCUAGCUGUUUUCUAGAAUGUUUUUUCCCUGACAGUACUACAGAGGUGGUAAAUCAAGCCUCAAUUAUGCAUACCUGUUUUCUAGAGAGCAUUUGGAAUUGCUAAAACACUUCAAAGUCUUAGAUUAUUGCCUUUUUGUCAUGGAUAUCUGCUAUGCUUUGCCUGAAUUUGAUGGACACCUAAUUAAAAUAAAAAAAGCUGAAUCCAUAUGA
Molecule: long non-coding RNA, 2530 nt
Organism: Lagopus muta (rock ptarmigan)
Lineage: Eukaryota; Metazoa; Chordata; Aves; Galliformes; Phasianidae
Exons: 2
Source: RefSeq, a predicted model, not a curated record